RNAcentral lists this ribosomal RNA (296 nucleotides) under Anaplasma phagocytophilum. Its description in RNAcentral is "partial 16S ribosomal RNA". It matches the Rfam family "Bacterial small subunit ribosomal RNA", at positions 141 to 453 of the family's 1533-position model. Lineage: Bacteria; Pseudomonadati; Pseudomonadota; Alphaproteobacteria; Rickettsiales; Anaplasmataceae. The record is from RNAcentral.
GGAUAGCCACUGGAAAUGGUGGGUAAUACCGUAUAAUCCCCGCGGGGGAAAGAUUUAUCGCUAUUAGAUGAGCCUAUGUCGGAUUAGCUAGUUGAUGGGGUAAUGGCCUACCAAGGCAGUGAUCUGUAGCUGGUCUGAGAGGAUGAUCAGCCACACUGGAACUGAGACACGGUCCAGACUCCUACGGGAGGCAGCAGUGGGGAAUAUUGGACAAUGGGCGCAAGCCUGAUCCAGCUAUGCCGCGUGAGUGAGGAAGGCCUUAGGGUUGUAAAACUCUUUCAGUAGGGAAGAUAAUG